Long non-coding RNA from Equus caballus (horse), 2459 nucleotides. Lineage: Eukaryota; Metazoa; Chordata; Mammalia; Perissodactyla; Equidae. The record is from Ensembl.
AUACAUAUAAAAGAAACCUGAUUAUAACCUAUACGGGGCUGUUCCAAUCAUCAUAGAAGCAUCUGGAGAGCGUGAGACCAUCCUCUCGAGUGCCUCCAAGAAAUGAUUUAACCACACACAGGAGCUGCCUGAGAAAGCACUGAGAAGGAGGACAAACAGCAAUGGCGUUUUAUCUCCCCUGGUGGGACUAGAAACAGCUUGACAGCAUGGCCCUGUCUGCUGUUUCUUUGUGCCCCUCACGGAGUAUAUAUAACUAAACAGAUGAGGAAGGAAGAGGGCUCCAGGGAACCUGUGGUGAGGUCGCCCGCAAUCUGUCCUCACCGGUCGGUCGGGGCAGAGAAAGUUGUCGCCUCUGCUCCGCUGUGGGGAGGCUGUGGGAUUUUGCAGCUAUUUGAAUGAUUAAAUGGAAUGUCCUGGAUGGAUGAGAAGGAAUGACUACAAGCACAUGACCUGGCUUGGGAUCUUUACAGAAAUGCUGAUGUGAAGAGGGAGGCAAGAGUGAUUCGCUUUCUAGACUGCACAUUCUCCUUGGGCCACUGGUCUAGCAUCCUGUUUAAGGUCGCCAGUCAACUGACCACCCCCCUCACCUUCUCCCAGCGCCCCGCACCCCUCCUGCACUCUCCCUCAGGGAAAGUCUCCGGCUACGGCAUUUACAUUUACGUUGGGAACCACACACUCUGCAUUUUAAUGAUAGGAAAGCACUUAUGUCUUUUUCUCUAAUGAUUUAAUAGUCUGUCUUCCCAACCAGAUUGUAAAACUCUCCAGGGCAUGGAAUACCAUCCACUGGCUCAAUUGCUGAGCUUCUGGCUGCCCUGCACUCAGGACGACAGAAGAGCUAGAAUUGACUGUGUGCUCCAGGGAGGGGACCACGCUUCACAAGUCAGAUGCAGCAUCUCCAGGAGCUCAGAAGGCAGCCAGCUUGCACUUUCUGCCUGAUUCCUACAAUGACCCAGUGAGGCAGGAGGAGUGAGCAGCAGUUUUUGACGCUAAGGAAACUGAGGCGUAGCAAGGUUAACACACUUGCCCCAAAGCACUAAGAAAGGGGCAGAGCCAGAAUUCAAACUUCAGUCUACCUUAAAAACCCGUACUCUUAACUACCAUAUUAAUAAGCAAAACUGAAGUAGAGCUGUAAGAUUACCGAGUACAGCAGUCGGCCCACAUCUUGGGGGAGGCGUUCCAGGACCCCCAGUGGAUGCUGGAAACCUCGGAUAGCGCCGAAACCUAUAAAUACUGUUUUUUCCUGCACAUACACACCUAUGAUAAAGUUUAACGUAUAAAUUAGGCACUGUAAGAGAUUAACAACAAUAACUAAUAAUAAAGUUGACUUUGGGGCCAUUAUGAAGUGAAAUAACAGUUACUUGAACGCAAGUGCUGUGGCACAGUGACUGUCUAUCCGACAAUCGAGAAGACGACUAAGCGACCGUUGGACAGGAAGCAGAUAGAGCAGGGAUCUGCUGGACGAAGGGAUGAUCCACGUCCCAGUUGCAGGCCGUCUGUACCUACCAAGAGGGUCCCGGAGUUGGUAUGAACUGUAAGGCCUGCAGUCCAGGAAAUGAGGAUCUCGAAGGUGCUGGAGUCUCAGUCGACAGCUCUCAGACGAGGAAACUCAGCACAGAGCUUACAAACAACAGAGCCAGGGGUGAGGGAUCUCUACCCACCCUACUGGAUGGAUGGCCUCAAGGGUGGCCAUGUGUCCCGAGUAAGCCUGCAGUCUCUGAAGUCAGCCUGAAGUCACUGAAUCGCCCUCUGCCUCAGUUUCCUCAUCUGUAGUGACUGCAGUCAUGUCUCUCUCACAGAGGGGAAGAGGAAAGAAAAGAUAGGAACUACAAUCUGGCUGGGCGGGAGAUUGAAGCUGUAUUUACACAGCAGUGUUCUUAAGACUGAGGAAUCACUAAAUGGGCUCAGUUGAUGGAGAUUGAGUGAUACUCUCAUUCAACUUGGGGCCUCAACCAUUCUUCUUCCUCCCUUCCGAACUGACCGAUGAAUUUGAGGUAAUGGCCAAAACUGGGGGGUCUGUGUACAGAGUAUAUAUAUGUGGGUGACAAUCUUUCCACCAUCCCAUAAACUCCCUUCUCCGAAAUAUCCCGGGUUUUAGAAUCUCAGAGGUUAAAUUUAAGUAACAAUGGCUUCCUUUUCUCAGAACUAGCUGGUUAAAAGGUGUUUGACUCAUAUUUGUCCAGACAAUUUGCUUUUCUCUGUCUUUUUUCCUCAUUGACAUCGCUUCCUCCUCUUCUCCGUUUCUCACAGCCGGCUAUGGUAUUUGGCGACAUGAGCACAGCGGUUUACAGGGAAGUUACACAGAGUCUCUUGUUUGGCUGCGGUGGUGGCCAUACUUGGAGAGAAGUCUCGGGGCUCCCCUAUGCCACCACCUGCCCCAACUCACACACUCUCAGUUCUCCAUAGGAAAUUCACCACUUUAUGGCCUCGCAUAAAAGUGCCAUUCUGAAUAAACACAAAAG